This 783-nucleotide long non-coding RNA is filed under the name Sus scrofa (pig). RNAcentral's name for it is "lncRNA (ENSSSCG00070015504.1)". Lineage: Eukaryota; Metazoa; Chordata; Mammalia; Artiodactyla; Suidae. The record is from RNAcentral.
CUUGCUUUUUGGGGUGAGGGAAAGGAUCUAUUUUUCAUUACAUUUUUGUUUUAUUUAUUUAUGUAUUUAUUUAUUUAGUCUCUUGUCUUUUUAGGGCCAUGCCUGUGGCAUAUGAAGGUUCCCAGGCUAGGGGUCCAAUCAGAGCUGUUGCUGCCAGCCUACAUCACAGCCAUAGCAAUGCCAGAUCCGAGCUGCAUCUGCGACCCACACCACAGCUCAUGGCAACGCCGGAUCCUUAGCCCACUGAGCGAGGCCAGGGAUCCAACCCACAACCUCAUGGUUCCAGUUUGUUUCCGCUGUGCCACAGUUCCUCCCAUCAUUACAUUUUUAAAGCAUCUAUGAACUUGUCAAAUACCCCAAAUCGUGGUACUAGGUAGUCAUAAUGGUAUUUCCCUUGUUUCAAUUUCUUCAGGUGUGGGACUGGUUCACUCCCUUCUGUCAUCAAAACCUCCAGCUUGACAUGUGGGCAAACUCUUUUGAGUGAAAAUUCAGAAUAUGUGGCAACAUCAGUGGUGCAUCCUUUUCUUCUUUCUCUUUCUUUCUUUCUUUCUUUCUUUCUUUCUUUCUUUCUUUCUUUCUUUCUUUUUCUUUCUUUCUUUCUUUCUUUCUUUCUUUUUCUUUCUUUCUUUCUUUCUUUCUUUCUUUCUUUCUUUCUUUCUUUCUUUCUUUCUUUCUUUCUUUCUUUCUUUCUUUCUUUCCUUGCUUCCUUGCUUCCCUCCUUCCCUCCUUCUCUCUCUCCUUUCUAAUGAUGGUUCCUGGUACACAGAGCCCAUCCUAUUUAAA